RNAcentral lists this ribosomal RNA (497 nucleotides) under uncultured bacterium. RNAcentral's name for it is "partial 16S ribosomal RNA". It matches the Rfam family "Bacterial small subunit ribosomal RNA", at positions 28 to 507 of the family's 1533-position model. The record is from RNAcentral.
GAUGAACGCUGGCGGCGUGCCUAAUACAUGCAAGUCGAGCGAACGGACGAGAAGCUUGCUUUUCUGAUGUUAGCGGCGGACGGGUGAGUAACACGUGGAUAACCUACCUAUAAGACUGGGAUAACUUCGGGAAACCGGAGCUAAUACCGGAUAAUAUUUUGAACCGCAUGGUUCAAAAGUGAAAGACGGUCUUGCUGUCACUUAUAGAUGGAUCCGCGCUGCAUUAGCUAGUUGGUAAGGUAACGGCUUACCAAGGCAACGAUGCGUAGCCGACCUGAGAGGGUGAUCGGCCACACUGGAACUGAGACACGGUCCAGACUCCUACGGGAGGCAGCAGUAGGGAAUCUUCCGCAAUGGGCGAAAGCCUGACGGAGCAACGCCGCGUGAGUGAUGAAGGUCUUCGGAUCGUAAAACUCUGUUAUUAGGGAAGAACAUAUGUGUAAGUAACUGUGCACAUCUUGACGGUACCUAAUCAGAAAGCCACGGCUAACUACGCG